This 662-nucleotide ribosomal RNA is filed under the name Triticum aestivum (bread wheat). RNAcentral describes it as "partial small subunit ribosomal RNA". Lineage: Eukaryota; Viridiplantae; Streptophyta; Magnoliopsida; Poales; Poaceae. The record is from RNAcentral.
GGCGUGUGCUCGCCACACACCCCAAAUCCUCCCCCACACGGCCACGCCUACUCAAGCACACAGACGAUCCAUACAUCCACAACCCCCACCAAACCAAUCCGACCAACCAAGAAACACCGCCGGCCGCAGCCACCAAGAACCAUCCAUGGCGACCCUGUUCUGCGCGGCCGCUGCCACCUCGUGCCGUCUCGCCUUCCCGCUUGCCGUGCCGGCGCCGGCGCCAGGCCUUGGCCGCGGCCGGGCCCGACGCGGCACGGUGGCGGUGCGUGCGGAGGCAGACACCGCCGCUGCUGGGACCGGGAUAAACCCGGCCAUCCGGAAGGAGGAGGCCAAGGUGGUCGACACCGUCCUGGCCGGGGAGCUCUCCAAGCCGCUCACCCCGUACUGCCGGUGCUGGAGAUCGGGAACAUUUCCACUGUGUGAUGGAAGCCAUGUGAAGCACAACAAAGCAACGGGUGAUAAUGUAGGGCCCUUGCUUGUUAAGAAGUAGAAUGAGUUAUUUUUCCUCAAUUUGUGUUGAGUGGAAUAAUGUGUAUAUCGUAGUUGGUAUAACGUUUUUCUCAAAUGUAAUAAUGAAGUUCCAUGCUGCAACAACCCUGUUGAUCAAAAGAGCAGAAUUAAGAGAGAAAUUGCCAUGCUACAAAGCAAAAUAAGUAUCAUUU